RNAcentral lists this long non-coding RNA (7387 nucleotides) under Homo sapiens (human). RNAcentral's name for it is "HSALNT0191040". The record is from RNAcentral. Lineage: Eukaryota; Metazoa; Chordata; Mammalia; Primates; Hominidae.
CCAGCUUUUUUAAAAUUUUUUUUUAUUUUAGUAGAGACAAGGUCUUGCUAUGUUGCCCAGUCUAGAAAUUAGAUUUUUAUAAAAAUUUAUACUAAUGUCAUAAUUUCAACCCAUUUCUAGCAUACCCACUCGCCAAACAGCUCUAAUAGCUGUUCCCCAUCCCAAAGCAAACUCUCAAGAUCCAAAAUAGUCUAACAAACAAACAAAUAAGACCCAAACUUUAAGGACUUUGAGCUUUGCCAAGAUAGGCUUUUAUCUAACUCCUAUUGGGAAUGAUAUUCAGGCUACAGAUGAGUUAUUUUAGUUUUGCCUUUCUAGAGUCAACAGAAACACUGAAGCUUAAGUUUUCUAACUGUCCCCUUGAUCUGUUCCCUCGAGCACCCUGGAUUUUAUUAUCUGACUAUAAUAGCUAGAAUAUAGGGGUCAGAUAAAUACCGCUAACAAUUUAUUUUUUGGAGUUUAUAUUGAAAGUGUGAAGCUAUCUGUUUUAUGACCUUAAAUUAUCAUUCGUGAGGAAGAUGGAAGAGAGAUGAGGGCCUGAGGGGGUAGGCAUUAGGGAAAUGAGAAUUUUUGACAUGAGAGACUGACAUGAAAAAGUAACCCCAAAAUAUUCAGGUAAUAAAACCAAUGCAUUAUUGAUCAGCCCAUCAGAUUAUGUGUUGUUUAGUUUCUAGUGUCUGUCUUUUAGAGUAUAUAGGGAGUUGGGAAGGCUUUGGGGGUUUUGGGGGGAGGGUAGGGAGGAGGUCCCUCUACUCCAUUUAUCAUCUCUCUUGAACUGCAGAAUUGGGUUUUAAAAUCCAAGUUAGCGUAACCCCCAGUCAGAAUGAAGCUUGGUUGCCUGCAUAUAGCAACAAAGUUAGGAGGAAAUAGUCUCAAUGAUUAGACUCUCAUCAUCUCAGUAAUACGAGAAAUUGCAAUUAAGGGUAAUUCAGUAAGGAUUUGGAAGCCUGAAAUUGCUCCAGAAGUAAAAAGUCUUGCUAGACUCCUGCAUCUUUUGGUUCAGUUGCCAUUUAUUGCUGCCACACAACCCAGUAAGCAUGCCAAUGUAUACUAUGGCUAAAUAUGAUGCUCUAACCUUGGACCAUUGCUCAGUAGCCAGUGGCAGAUUGGAGUGGAGGUAAAAGUACUCAUAACUUGGUGCCCCACAGUUAUUUGUGGGAAUACAUAUUUCCUCCACUAAAUGGUAAGCUCCCGGAGGACACAAAAUAUACUUUAUUAAUUCCUUUAUCCUCCAUCAGGCCUAUCAAGUAUUUUGUAUGUAUUAGAAACUAUUUUUGUUGUUAGAAGUACAGAUUCUGGGCUCACACCUGUAAUCCUAGCACUUUGGGAGGCUGAGGUGGGUGGAUCACUUGAGUCUAGAAGUUCAAUACCAGCCUAGCCAACAUGGCGAAAGCUCAUCUGUACAAAAAAUACAAAAAUUAGUUGGGCAUGGUGGCACACACCUGUGGUCCCAGCUACUCAGGGGGCUGAGGCAAGAGGAUCGCUUGAGCCCGGGAGGUCAAGGCUGCAGUAAGCCGUGAUUGUACCACAGCACUUUAGUCUAAGCAACGGAGCAAAACCCUGUCUCAGAAAUAAGUAAAUAAAUUAAAAAGUACAGAUUCUGGAGCCCAGUAGAUAAGGAUUCAAAUUCUGAGUGCCAACAUGACUGUGGUUUGGUGUUUAAAGUUGUAAUUAGGAAUUCACCACUUACCACCUUCAUCCUCUUCCUGGCAUUAACUCCUGUAAGCUUCAGUUUCUUCUUUAGAAAUGUGGAUAAUUGAUAGCACCUACCUCAUAAGGAGUUUGAGAGGGUUAAAUGAGAUUGUUCACAUAAAGCACUCAACAAUGUGUCUGGCAUUCAGUAAAUGUUGCUAUUAUCAAUGGAGGUUGUGCAGUAGGUUUUCAAAGAAGGUGUAUUAGGUUGUUGAAUUAUGGAUCAUGCUUGUGGUGCACAAGCAAGCGAACACAGUUGAGGUACAGCAAUGGAAAAUUGCAGGUGAGGCUGGCUUCAGAACGACAUGCCCAGGGACUCAAAUGAUGGCACCCAGACCUGGUUUCUCUCAUUUCAUAAUCAGUGUUGCAUUCACUGUGUUUGCUCCAUUCUCAGACAGCCUCUCAUCUCCAGGUCAAGACCUGGAAGAGUCUGCUUCCCUUUAAGUCAAAUCAAAGCUUCAGCUAGGUCUUGUUGGCUUGCAUUGGGCGAAUGAAGAUUAUGCACCUGUGCCUGAGCCAUCCUCUGAGGCCAGAGGAUGCAGUGUGCUUGGGCCUUGUUCACGUGCUCAUGCCUGGAGUGAGGGGGCAGACAGCUACACCUAAACCAUAUUGACUAAGAGUGGAGGCAGGGCUGGUUCCUCAGAGGGAAAUUAAGGUGCAUGUUCUAAAAGAAGGUGAAUAACUGCUGUGUAGAAAAAGGUUUUGAAAGGUGGUAAAUAAUUAAUAUAAAGUAGCAUUGAUGCUUCAAGAAGAUAUACCACUAAGGUAUAUCUUCAUUCGCCCAAUGCGCGCCAACAGGGUAUUGAAAAAGGUAGGAAAUAAUUAAUAUACUACAUUAUGUUAUAUAUUAGUGUUAUAAAUCUUGGGUUUCAGGAAAUGGAAAUCUUAUUUUGUAAUUUGUAACAGUAAAGCAAGUAGGAGAGAAAGGGAAAUAGAUUUAUAUUGUAUCAAUUUAGCUAAACUGGAACUGGGUUUCCCUGAAUUUUUUUCCCAGCAUGGUUGUGGAUUGAUUGGGCCACAGCAGAAGCUUUGUCCAAGAUUUGGAAGGUGGGAGUUAAGUGCCUAUUCUUUUUAUGCUCAGAAGGUCAGUCCAGGGCAUUAGAGCCACUGUAGCUCACAUACAUUGUUGCUUCUCUGCUGGCUCACCUGACAGGCAUGAGGCAGCAGCUGGGUCCACCAGCCCUUAUAGAGCCUGCCAGAUUGCUCCUUCAGCUUCCGCGACCCCCAGGCCAGGUGUGUAUUUACUCCUGACUAAGGUGCCGCUGUUCUUCAAAGUGAUCCUCACGUGGAAGUGGUAGGCCUGGAGGUAGGGAGAUACCAUCAUGGGUUCCAGUCUGUCUGGAGGCCCAGCUCUUCCCCACAGGCUCCAGUUUGUCUUUACCUUCUCCAACUUCAUGUCCAUCUUUCCUUGCCAACUACCUUCCCUGCAGACUGCAGACCCAAGCACCGGGUGCAGAAGCCAUAGCAUAGAGCUUUUAAUGAUCUCCCACAAUUGCAUAAGGUCCAAUCCUUAAAACAAAUCCAUUAGUCUAUAUCACUCCUAGUGGUUCUGCUUCUCUGAUUGAAUUUUGGAACAUGGAAUGAAACAUAUGGACUUUAAAGUCUGACAGCCUGGCUGUACCACUUACAACUGUGUGAUCUUAGGAAACUCACUCAACCUCUCCGAGCCUUACUUUCCUCAAGUGUUAAAUGAGAACACUAAUCCUUUCCUUUUAGGAUUGUUGUGAUAUAAUAAAUAAAAAUCACUUAACAAUGCUCAAACUUCAACAGCAUUCAACAAUGUUUUUGAGGCUUUCAGGUUUUGGGAAUACAUUGAAGAACAAGGCAAGCAUAUCCCUGACCUGAUCAUGCUUAGGGUUUAGCUGGGGAUACAGGCAAGUUAACUAGAGUGUGGUAAGUACAGUGUGGUAAGUAUUCCUACAAGGAAAAGAAGGAGUAGGAUGGGAGGACUAGCUUCAUCUUGGUGGUGAGUAGGGGAGAGGAGUAUGUCAAGGAAGGAUUCCCAGAGGAAGUGGCAUCUACACUGAGCCCCAGGGACAGAUGGGAAUCUUCUGUCAUUUUAGGAAGAGGGUAUUAUGUGUGCAAAGCUGAUAGGCAAGGGAAAGCCUGGAGGUUCUCAUCAUCGUUAGGGUUCAUAUUGCAGAUGCCAAGUGCUGGCCGUGCCAGCCCCCACCACCAGCGAGUGGGUCGUAUGUCCAGAGCAGGGAGGAGGCAUGGAAACUGGGAGGUGCCAGAGCCCAGGGAGCAGAGCAACCAGGAGCCCGGGGGCCUCAUGGAAUAACCUAGACUGGCUGUGAGCACACCCUGGACUGGGAAUGGAAAUAUAAGGCUAUUUUAGGGCAGUGUUCUAGCAAGUAAACAUGACUUCCUAAGAAGAGGAAAAGGACAAAGGGCAGAAAGGAAGGAGCCAGAUGCCAUCAGUUACACAAUGUGCCAGUGAAGGCCAUGGGAAACCAUGUGAGGGGAGGGAGGAAGCUGCAAUCCGUGUGUGGGUUUUUGCUGAAUUGGAGUUUCCUCUCUCCUCUCCGGGACAUGUUGUGCUAUGCCAUGUUGUGCUAUGGCAUUUGAGAUUAUCUGGGGGCCAGAAGGACUUCAUAUCCAAGUGAUAAUAAGGGUAUAUCCUCUUGAAGCAUCAAUGCUACUUAAAGAUUGCUUUUUUGAGGGAAAGCCUAUCUUAUUUUAAAAAUGUAUCUAAUAGAUAUUUCAUAGAACAGAAUGCAAAUAUGUUUUGGGUUUUUGCUUAGGAUAAAAUAUGGGCCUUCAAGGAAAUGCCUCCACUGGGGAGAGCUGGUCCCUGCUCUUCCCUUAGACCCAGGUUAGCCAGUAUGAGGUUACUUUGUUCUGGCAUUGAGAGUACUUGGCCAGAGAAAGAGAAGUUUAAAGCCCAGGUGAGAGUCUAGCCUGAACUUUCUUUUCUCUGAAGGCUAUGUCUUGCCAGCCCCCCAUCUCCAGGACGGGCUACAUGAUCUGUGGGACCCAGUGCAAAAUGAAAUUAUUAAAAAUUUCAAGAUGGGGACAGCAGUGCACUAAAAGCAUGGGACCCUUCUAAGCAGAGGGCUCUGAGUGAUCGGGCAGGCCCCACACCUAUGAAGCUGGCUCUGCCCACCUCCCUCCCCUCAUCCCAGCACCUAUCUGGGACAUUUCUGAGGUACAGCACCAGCUAAAGAGAGAAGAGAUAGAGACUUUCCCCUUGUAUGUCUUAUUUAUAAUCUUUUCAUGCCUCCCACAGGAUCUCUGUCUUCUCCAAAUUGUUGGGAAGAUGGAGGACAGGGCAUGAUUCCAUGGAGGUUUCAUUUUGUUGAUUGGUUCUGCAGAUGUCUUUGAUGCCCGCCUGAGUUUCUUCACAGAAGUCUUUGGGCUGAAAAGAAUCUAGAGUCAUCUCCAGUGAUGAAGAGUCCCGAUGAUUAAUGAAACCACCUUUGCGAAGAUUAUGACAGCAAGAGGAGUCUAACAUGACCAACUCCAUCUUGCUUCUAGCCUCACAGACUGGCUGUCUUCACGCAUUCCUGGGCAUAGGAAGCUAACCAUGGAAGGGAUUUAGUUUCUAGUUUAAUGUGGAAGCAAGGAUGACAAUCCCUCCCUAAAACUGAUCCCCUCCUUGUUCAGGAGCUGAAACCACCUUUGUAAAACUGAUGAAAGACCGCAAGAUUAGAACUAUGGGAGUGGCCUAAAUUCUGCUAAAAUAUAGUUUCUAUAAUCCCUUACUACUCAGGAGUCAUGUGGCCAGAGGUCACAAGAUUUGUGACUUCCCCUAUUGCUCCUAUAGAUAACAUUAUGAUUGUAGAACUUAAGAUUGAUCUUUUGAGAUGUUUUUCAGACUUUUGCAUUUUGGCCACUGACCGACGCUACUGACUCAUGACUCAGCCGGUCCCAUGGCCCCCACCCAGAGGCAGACUCAGUGCAUGAGGACCAUCUUCCACAACCCUAUGAUUGUAUCCUCAGUCAGUCAGCAACACGUAUUCCCUAGUCCCCUACCCACCAAGGUAUCCUUAAGAAACCCUAACCUCCAAGCCUUCAGGAAGACUGAUUUGAGUAAUAACUCCAUCUUCCAUGUGGCCAGCCUAGUGUUAAUUAAACUCUUUCUUUACUGCAAUACCACAAUCUCAGUAAAUUGGAUUUGUCUGUGCAGAGGGUAGACCAAAUCCAUCAGGUGAUUGCAUUAAGAGUUGUUCUCUUCCUUGGCAAGGGAGAGGACACCUUUAUAAACGCAUAACCUAAAAAUAAAAUCCUAAGCCCACACUGACUGAACAGAUCCUUCUUGGCCAUGGAGACACAAAAAACCUUAAGAACUGAAUUUCCAACCAUGACAGCAAGUGAGGUUGAACACACUUUUUUAUACUCCCUCCCUUCUGGAGUUUAGGCACAACUGACCAGUAUUAAUGUUAAAAUAGAGAUCAUAAGACUGACAAAACAGACUCUUUGUGACAGUAAGAUACCAAAUUGUAAACAGGACCUAUGACCAUGCCAGACAAGGGUUAAGUCACAUCCCUACAGGUCACUCUGACCCAGUGUAUUGGGUAAUGAACCUCCUUAACUUAAACAUUCCUUUCUACCGACUUCAAAUCUUUAGACAAAGCUUAAUUUUUUCAACCAAUUUCCAACUAAAGAAUCCCCAAAACCCACCUAUGACUUGUAAGUGCUCUUCUCCCCACCUCAGGAUGUCCUGCCUUUUUGGGCUGAACCGAUAUUGUCUUCCAUAAAGUGAUUUAUGUCUUUAGCUGUAAUUCCUAUCUCCUUGAAAUGUAUACAACCAAACUAUAACCCGACUGCUUUGGACACACUUUCUCUGAUUUUUUUUUUUUUUUUUUUGACAUAGUCUCCCUCUGUUGCCCAGGCUGGAGUGCUGUGGAAUGAUCUCGGCUCACUGCAGCCUCUACCUCCGGGGUUCAAGUGAUUCUCAUGCCUCAGCCUCCCGAGUAGCUGGGACUACAGGUGCCCACCACCAUGCCCAACUAAUUUUUGCAUUUUUAGUAUAGACAGUGUUUCACCAUGUUUGCCAGGCUGGUCUUGAACUCCUCACCUCAAGUGAUCCACCUGCUUUGGCCUCCCAAAGUGCUGAGAUUACAGGUGUGAGCCACUGUGCCUGGCCAUGAGCGCACUUUCUCAAGACCACUUAAGGUUGUUUUUCUCCAGGUCAUGGCCCUUCAUGUUGGCUCUGAAAAAUCUCUUUAAACUGUUUUGCAGACUUUGGUUUUUCCAUUAAAAAUGGAAAGUCAUGUCCUGCUUUUAGCCAGAUAGGGGGAGGGCAGAGAGUUUUUGUUUGUUUGUUUGUUUGUUUUUUGUUUUCUGUCUGCUGUUUCUUGAUUGUCUUCAGCUCAAAAUAAUUCUUAUGCCAAAGUGGCAUAUUUUGGGGUGUCAUAUUCUGGUUCCCUUCACCACAUUUUGUUUAUCCAUUCAUCCAUUGAUGGACACUUGGGUUGUUAGGCUUUUUAAAAAUACUCCCAAAAUGUCUUAUCAAGACAUUAAUUUGAAACAAGUGCAGUGCUCUCUCUAAAAGGAAUUCUACUGAAUAAAAUUUCUCCAUUGUUACCAACAGCAGACUGUGUUUUGGCUGCCAGGUUAAAAAAGCAAGUUAAACCAGCAUUAAGUAAAUAAUCGACCAUUAUUUCAGAAGGGUGUCUUCAUCUAUCUGAGAGUUCCAGAAUCCCCAUCUGCAAAUGCUGGCUAAAUAGUGAUCUUCACUUGUCAUUGCAAC